UGCAGUCGUGGGGCAGCAGGCUACUACCUUCGGGUAGUAGUGCUGGCGACCGGCAAACGGGUGAGUAACGCGUAGCUUACCUACCCCAAGGUUGGGGAUAACCAUCCGAAAGGGUGGCUAAUACCCAAUAAUGAGGAGACUCCAAAGCCCAAAAGGCGCCUUGGGAUGGGGCUGCGUCCCAUCAKCUAGUUGGUGAGGUAAUGGCUCACCAAGGCUACGACGGGUAACCGGUCUGAGAGGAUGAUCGGUCACAGCGGGACUGAGACACGGCCCGCACCCCUACGGGGGGCAGCAGUGGGGAAUAUUGGGCAAUGGCCGAAAGGCUGACCCAGCGACSCCGCGUGGUGGAUGAAGCCCUUCGGGGUGUAAACACCUUUUCUGGGGGAAGAUAAUGACGGUACCCCAGGAAUAAGGGACGGCUAACUACGUGCCAGCAGCCGCGGUAAUACGUAGGUCCCGAACGUUGCGCGAAAUUACUGGGCGUAAAGGGUCCGUAGGCGGUCUGGUAAGUGGAAGGUGAAAUCCUACGGCUCA
This 534-nucleotide ribosomal RNA is filed under the name uncultured bacterium. RNAcentral's name for it is "bacterial SSU rRNA". It matches the Rfam family "Bacterial small subunit ribosomal RNA", at positions 56 to 611 of the family's 1533-position model. The record is from RNAcentral.